RNAcentral lists this unclassified non-coding RNA (3410 nucleotides) under Leishmania donovani. Its description in RNAcentral is "gene:LdHU3.17.1930(CDS-product:Methyltransferase_ domain_containing_protein_putative)". The record is from RNAcentral. Lineage: Eukaryota; Euglenozoa; Kinetoplastea; Trypanosomatida; Trypanosomatidae.
UGCUGCCCAUCGCACUCGCAGGUGCACGCAAGCCACCCCUUUUCCAGCUUGUGCGAUCACGCUCACAGAGAGGCACUCGUCUUCUUAUACGGCUAUGUCUGCUUGGCACUCGCUGGCGUUGCCGCUUUCGGCCGACUACGCGCAUAACGAACGUGAGGGUUUCUCGUUCUUCUGCACCAGUGGCAGCUGCGACAGUACGACAACUUUGGACCGCUACCUGGACGAUCUGUGCGCCUUUCUGCGCAGUGCCGGGCUCAUCCAGUCCCACCCGGACAACUACUUCCAGCUCAUCCGCGGCGAGAGGUGGGCCGCGUCAUCGGUGCACUUCGACAACUCCCCUGUCGAGGCGGAGGAGCUCGCGCACACGAAGGCGCUGCUGAGCGCCUUCAAACCACUCUUGCAGGGCGAUGACGCCAUGUCCAAGCUGCGUGCGCUGGUUCGAGAUGGCCCGCCGACAGACGCAGGGCAGUGCGCCGGCGCGCUGGCCGGCGACGUAGGCGCUUCGUCAGCCUCGUGGUCGCCGGCCAGUCUCUCCUCUCUCGCCCCACUUCAGGAGUUCUACGCCGCCACGCGGCGCUUAAUGCUAGGCCGUGCGCGCCGUGUCGAGAACGACGUCGCCAGUCUCACACUCGUGACAGAGGCUGAGCGGCGGACCAUCGACCGCGACUCCUCCAGCGCACAGACGCAGCAACAGCACGAGCAGGAUAUACUCGACCUCGUCGUUUCGCAGGGCAUGAACCUGAAAAAGCAGCACGAGGUGCCCAUCAUGCGAAUGACCAUACGCGACUUGGUGCUGUGCUGCAACGCCGGCGUGGGGCGCGCGUCUGCAGUGCGACUGCAAACCGGAGAACAGGAGGAUGUGAGAGGGAAGACCGGGAAGCACCGCUGUGGUGACGUUGCUCCAGUCGGCACAGUGAUCAACAUAGGCGAGGGAAAGGGCUACGUGUCGCGUGCAGUGUCUCUGUGCGAUAAUCUCCAGGUGGUCGGCCUCGACUGCAACCCCGCUCACAAGGAGCGUGCCGUGGAGCGCUUCGAAUCGCUUGUGGAGACGAGCCUCUCCUCACGCGACGGGCGGCCCCGCGUCAAUCUCCUGUACGAGCCGCGCGGCCACGUGGCAAGCAUCGCCUGCCGGGUCGGGGAGAAGGUGGACUGGGAGUCGCUGCUGCAUGGCCACGUCCGAACGUGCGCAGACCCGUGCUGCUUGCUCUCCAAGAGCUGCGGUGGCGACACUUGUUCGGCUGUGGGGACUGCCGUAGAGGAUCAAGGCUCCAUCGCCGAGGACGACGCCGCUGUCUUGACGCGCACUCGCGGCGACGAUACGGUGAAGCUGGCCUGCCGAGUCUGCGGCAAAGUUGUCCGACAGGACUGCACCGCAGCCAUCAUGAAGCACGUCUACAAACAUCUGCACGGCGGCAUUGGGCCUAGAGCGGCUGCGAGCGGCGUGCACGCACUGGAUAAUGCGACGGAAACGUUGUCCCCGCCACCACCGCACCAGAUGCGCGUUCCGGCGUUGACGGAGGUGCAGCAGUGGAACGUGUCGCUGCCCCAGCACGCGUACGUGGCGAAGCUGACAGAGCACUUCUUCGCUGUCACGGACGUCGAUAAACGGCAUCUAUCCAACCGAAACGAUGCGGCGCUGCUCAGACGUGUCGCCGUUGACGGUGAGGGCGGUACUGCUCUGCGGGGCAGCUCAAGUAAGGCCACGCCACGGUACCUCACCUUGGCGCCCCGAGCACACGGUGAGGUCCGUGGUGCCACAAGCGGGGCCCAGCGGCGGCGGCGCUCGCCGCCAGAGCACGCGCCUGUCACGCUCGAGCCCGCCUACACUGCUCGUGGCUAUCGCGUAGUGCUGCUGAUGGCUGUGGAAGAGGCGACCGCAUCCAGAGAGCACUUGCUUUCGCCAGCCAGCUCCGGCAGUCCGGUUGAUGGAGGCGAGGCCCAAGGAGUAGUGGUGACGCCGCCGGCGCGCGAGCGUGAGUCAGGGCCAGGCUUGACCUCUUCCGCUGCCGGGCAACCACCCCAGAUGUGGUCAUACACGCAAGUGCGUGCCACCGUUGUCGGCUACGACGGUGGCGUAGACAGCCACCAGGUGCGUGUCGACCAGGAAAGCAAGAAGCGCACGCUACGGCUCUACCGCCUGCGGGCGGGCACCACAGCAGCGGCACGGGAGUGUGUGCUCGAGUUGACGGACCGCCACGGUGGCGGCAUCGCAUGCGUAGGCGACUGGCAGCUGCCAGAUGCGGGGACAUGGGGCCGUGAGCGCGUUGCGCUCGUCUUGGCAGUACUGCCGCCUGCCCUUCCCUCCACCCCUGUGGUGUGCGUGCCUAGCGUGCGGAACACAGUCCUCAUUGGUCUGCACUCGUGCGGCGACUUGGGCUCCAACAUAUGCCGCAUCUUCCGCAACAGCUCGGCGCGUGGUCUGCUGCUUGUCAGCUGCUGCUGGCACGCGCUGACGCCGCAUGGCUUUCCGCUGAGCCGCGCACUGCAGCGCCGCGGCUUGACAACUAACAGCAUCUCGCUCCUCCUUGCCACGCAGCCGCUGGAUGCCUGGUCGACGGCCUCGCCCGAGGGCCACCGCAGCUCUGCCAAGCUGCUCUUCUUUCGCAGCCUCUUCAAGCUCCUGUGGAGACAACUGGCAGGGAUGUGGGAGGCAGGGCGGAAGGACGGGUCUGUGUCACGUCCUUCCGGCUGCGCACACACUGACACCUUGGGCGGCGAUGACACGUGCGCGUUCCCGGACGUGCCGCCGCAUCUUGAGCCUGCCUUUCUUCGACGAAUCUCGCGCGAGAAGGACACGCUGACCUUCACCCAAUUUGUGCACGCCGUCGCCGCCGAGUACGUCUACUCCGGGUCUUCCAAGGACACCCCGUACACGCCGUGGAACAUUGGGCGGUGCUGCGCAGUGUGCCGAACGGCGCAGGAGGCGCACGCGCGGUACGCGCUCACGCAGCAGCGUCUGCCUGAGACGAUGGGGGCAUGCUUUGAAGAGGAGCACUUCGCUUCCUUCCUCGGUCUGACCGUGCUGCGCAUGUGGAUGUGCCACCUGGUCGAGUCGCUGCUUCUCCUGGAUCGCGCCCUCUACUUGCAUGAGGAGCUGUCAGAGUGCCAUAGCCGUGCAGCAGGGGCACCGGCAGACGAGGCAGAGAGUAGCGCGGUGGCGCUUGUGCCGUUGUUCGACGGCGCCUUGUCGCCCCGCAUGUAUGGCGUCCUUGCCCGUCGUGGCGGGUCAGCGUGCGCCUAAGGCACCGCUCCUCGAUUUUCCCUUCCCUCAUAAAGCUGCCACACCCGUAACGCCAUUGAGCACUCGCAACGCGAACUCACGUGCGUCGCCAUCACCGUGGCAUCAGCACCUCUGAGGAAUAGCUUAGCGCUACCGGUGGCACUGCCACUGGCAGCGUAACGAACCACAG